AAGUUUUUGAAACGCCCUCGAAAAAUGUCUUGAUAUGGACAUUAAAACUUCAACCUGAGUGGUCUAGUAUCUAGUAGAUAAGUUGUGAAGUUGACCAAAAAUCUAACGGUCAGGGGUACGAAUCCGAGAAGAUUCGAUAAUUUUCAUUUUAUUGAAUCGCGCUUCGGAAAACCUGUAUUUAUCGCUCUACACAACGAGAUCAUAUGGGUAUACAUCUGAUUCUGAAUCAUAACUGCGUACGUCUUCAUUCGACUACUGGAUUUGUCAUUUCACGGAUAAACAAUUCAGUUUUCAUCUAGCCCGCUGUUAGUAAAGAUGGAGUGAUGAACGUUGCAUAGAAGGACAUCUGACAGCUGGGGUUCGAAUCCGUGGAGCUUAAAUAUUUUCGAUUCAAUUUAUUAAUUCGCCUUUCGGAAAACCCGUUUUAAUCACUUUCCACCUUGUUUCCACGACUAGUUGAGGUGAGUGUACAUCUUAAUCAUAUUUACGUACGUCUUCAAUCGACUACUGACUCGUCAUUCCACUGAUAAAUAAGUCAGUUUUCAUUGAAAUUAGUCAGUUUUCAUCCAGCGGUCUAUGAGUUAAGAUUGACGCGAGAAAAUUUGUAACCUAGUGUUUUUGAUUGUCGCAUGAACACUGCAAUGUAUAGUACGAAGUACUAAUGUUGAAUGGUUUAGUGAACUAUCUGUCGAAAUGCAAGGAUUAUAAUUUUUGGAAACAAAUAUAUGAAUCAAUAAAUUCUUUGAAAACGACUGAAGAAUGAUGUCAGAAAGCAUUAUACGAAAACAAUCGGAAUGCUACAGCAAAGCGAAACUAACGUAGUGUACCUACAGUGUGGCCUAAAUCAAAUAUUGUUUAUACCUACUUUUCAUCGACUAAUAUGUAAUUGUUAUUUCUGUAAGAUAUUCUGUUGAAAUAUCGACUUUAACUGUUGGCAAAUUAUUGAUGUACAUAAAAUUAGUAAUUUUUUGAGAUGUAAAUGAUACAAAGAUUAUACGCUGAAUAAACUACAAAUGAGGUUCUGUCACUUUAUCGAAAUGCGAAUUAUUAUUUGUAAUUGGAAGCUGAAAAAAAGGAAAAAGAAGAAAAAAUUUAAGAAAACAAAAAAAAAAUACAACAAAAAAGAUAAAAAAAAAAGAAUAAAAAAAAAGGAUUCUAAAGCUUUCAAUUCCAAUGAAGAGACAGUUUAUGAGUGUAUUUUGUCUUAAGCAGAAUGCAAUUCAAGUUCUCAUCGGUAAUAAUAAAUUAAAUCUCAUUUGUCAGUUCUUCAGUGCUUUUAACUCUGAAUUAGCCUUGUUUUCCAUCGUUGAAGAAAAUCGUUCCUAUUAUUAAUUAUUUUAUGUAUUCUGAUCGAACCGCGUUUUCAUAUCUUUACGUCGAUAUUUUGCCAAACAGUUGAUCGAUAUAAAAGCAGGAUAUAAAAUCUCAUUGCGAUUUGUCAUUCAUUAAAUGAAUUAAGUUAGAAAUAUUCGUACUUAUUGUAAUAUUUAUAGAUUCGAAUAAUAGGUUUGUGAAAUAUUGUUAUAAUGUUAUAUUAUUUAUUCGUUAUAUCUUAUCUAUGAAUAUUUUAAAAUAUAAAACAAUAUGUAACAUGAA
This is a long non-coding RNA of Harmonia axyridis, 1596 nucleotides long. RefSeq lists it as uncharacterized. The transcript has 3 exons. The record is from RefSeq and is a predicted model, not a curated record. Lineage: Eukaryota; Metazoa; Arthropoda; Insecta; Coleoptera; Coccinellidae.